UGAACGCUGGCGGCGUGCUUAACACAUGCAAGUCGAACGGUGAUGGUACAUGCGAGGGAGUAGUUUACUAUGACCAGACAAGUGCCAUCCUAGUGGCGGACGGGUGAGUAACGCGUGGGCAACCUGCCCUGUACAGGGGGAUAACACUUAGAAAUAGGUGCUAAUACCGCAUGAGCGCACAAAGGCGCAUGCCUAUGUGCGGGAAGCCCGCGAGGGCGGUACGGGAUGGGCCCGCGUCUGAUUAGCCAGUUGGCAGGGUAACGGCCUACCAAAGCGACGAUCAGUAGCCGGCCUGAGAGGGUGGACGGCCACAUUGGGACUGAGACACGGCCCAAACUCCUACGGGAGGCAGCAGUGGGGGAUAUUGCACAAUGGGGGAAACCCUGAUGCAGCGACGCCGCGUGAGUGAAGGAGCGUUUCGGCGCGUAAAGCUCUAUCAGCAGGGAAGACAAACUGCCCCGGAAGGGGCAGCCGGACGGUACCUGACCAAGAAGCCCCGGCUAACUACGUGCCAGCAGCCGCGGUAAUACGUAGGGGGCAAGCGUUAUCCGGAUUUACUGGGUGUAAAGGGAGCGUAGACGGCAAGACAAGCCUGGAGUGAAAGGCGGGGGCCCAACCCCCGGACUGCUCUGGGAACUGUCUGGCUGGAGUGCAGGAGGGGUAAGUGGAAUUCCUAGUGUAGCGGUGAAAUGCGUAGAUAUUAGGAGGAACACCAGUGGCGAAGGCGGCUUACUGGACUGUAACUGACGUUGAGGCUCGAAAGCGUGGGGAGCAAACAGGAUUAGAUACCCUGGUAGUCCACGCCGUAAACGAUGACCACUAGGUGUCGGGGGCUUAAGGGCGCCCGGUGCCGCAGCAAACGCAAUAAGUGGUCCACCUGGGGAGUACGUUCGCAAGAAUGAAACUCAAAGGAAUUGACGGGGACCCGCACAAGCGGUGGAGCAUGUGGUUUAAUUCGAAGCAACGCGAAGAACCUUACCUGGCCUUGACAUCCCUUUGGAUGCGCGGUAACGCGCGCAGCCCUUCGGGGCGGAGGAGGCAGGUGGUGCAUGGUUGUCGUCAGCUCGUGUCGUGAGAUGUUGGGUUAAGUCCCGCAACGAGCGCAACCCUUACCCUUAGUAGCCAGCAGGAGAGCUGGGCACUCUAGGGGGACUGCCGGGGAUAACCCGGAGGAAGGCGGGGAUGACGUCAAAUCAUCAUGCCCCUUAUGGCCAGGGCUACACACGUGCUACAAUGGCGUAAACAAAGGGAGGCGAACCGGCGACGGCAAGCAAACCCCAGAAAUAACGUCCCAGUUCGGAUUGUAGUCUGCAACCCGACUACAUGAAGCUGGAAUCGCUAGUAAUCGCAGAUCAGAACGCUGCGGUGAAUACGUUCCCGGGUCUUGUACACACCGCCCGUCACACCAUGGGAGCCGGGAAUGCCCGAAGUCGGCAGCCUAACCGCGAGGAGGGAGCCGCCGAAGGCAGGCCUGGUGACUGGGGUGAAGUC
Molecule: ribosomal RNA, 1491 nt
Filed under: uncultured organism
Description: SSU rRNA
Rfam family: Bacterial small subunit ribosomal RNA
Source: RNAcentral